This 847-nucleotide ribosomal RNA is filed under the name uncultured bacterium. RNAcentral describes it as "bacterial SSU rRNA". It matches the Rfam family "Bacterial small subunit ribosomal RNA", at positions 69 to 917 of the family's 1533-position model. The record is from RNAcentral. RNAcentral also lists the same sequence under 1 other name.
GAAAGCUUGCUUUUGAUGGGCGUCGACCGGCGCACGGGUGAGUAACGCGUAUCCAACCUGCCCACCACUUGGGGAUAACCUUGCGAAAGUAAGACUAAUACCCAAUGACGUCUCUAGAAGACAUCUGAAGGAGAUUAAAGAUUUAUCGGUGAUGGAUGGGGAUGCGUCUGAUUAGCUUGUUGGCGGGGUAACGGCCCACCAAGGCGACGAUCAGUAGGGGUUCUGAGAGGAAGGUCCCCCACAUUGGAACUGAGACACGGUCCAAACUCCUACGGGAGGCAGCAGUGAGGAAUAUUGGUCAAUGGACGAGAGUCUGAACCAGCCAAGUAGCGUGCAGGAUGACGGCCCUAUGGGUUGUAAACUGCUUUUAUAAGGGGAUAAAGUGAGUCUCGUGAGACUUUUUGCAUGUACCUUAUGAAUAAGGACCGGCUAAUUCCGUGCCAGCAGCCGCGGUAAUACGGAAGGUCCGGGCGUUAUCCGGAUUUAUUGGGUUUAAAGGGAGCGUAGGCCGGAGAUUAAGCGUGUUGUGAAAUGUAGACGCUCAACGUCUGUACUGCAGCGCGAACUGGUUUCCUUGAGUACGCACAAAGUGGGCGGAAUUCGUGGUGUAGCGGUGAAAUGCUUAGAUAUCACGAAGAACUCUGAUUGCGAAGGCAGCUCACUGGAGCGCAACUGACGCUGAAGCUCGAAAGUGCGGGUAUCGAACAGGAUUAGAUACCCUGGUAGUCCGCACGGUAAACGAUGGAUGCCCGCUGUUGGUCUGAAUAGGUCAGCGGCCAAGCGAAAGCAUUAAGCAUCCCACCUGGGGAGUACGCCGGCAACGGUGCAACUCAAAGGAAUUGACGGA